AGUGAACGUUGGCGGCGUGGAUUAGGCAUGCAAGUCGAGCGAGAACCGUAGCAAUACGGGGACAGCGGCGAAAGGGACAGUAAUGUGUAGGUACCUACCCCGAGGUCUGGGAUAGCUGCGGGAAACUGCAGGUAAUACCGGAUAAUGUCUUCGGACCAAAGGUGUGAUUCCACCUUGGGAGGGGCCUGCAUCCUAUUAGCUAGUUGGCGGGGUAAUGGCCCACCAAGGCAACGAUGGGUAGCGGGUGUGAGAGCACGACCCGCGUCAUUGGGACUGUGACACUGCCCAGACACCUACGGGUGGCUGCAGUGGGGGGUCUUCGGCAAUGGGCGCAAGCCUGACCGAGCGACGCCGCGUGCGGGAUGAAGGCCUUCGGGUUGUAAACCGCUGUCGUAGAGGAGGAAAUGCAGGGGGGUUCUCCCUUCUGUUUGACCUAUUCUAGGAGGAAGGACGGGCUAAGUUCGUGCCAGCAGCCGCCGUAA
RNAcentral lists this ribosomal RNA (482 nucleotides) under uncultured bacterium. RNAcentral's name for it is "partial 16S ribosomal RNA". It matches the Rfam family "Bacterial small subunit ribosomal RNA", at positions 28 to 523 of the family's 1533-position model. The record is from RNAcentral.